GCAGCCGCGGUAAUACGAAGGGGGCUAGCGUUGCUCGGAUUUACUGGGCGUAAAGCGUCUGUAGGCGGAAGUGUAAGUUGGACGUGAAAGCUCCGGGCUCAACUCGGAGAGGCCGUUCAAUACUGCACAACUAGAGGCCAUCAGAGGGGCGUGGAAUUUCCGGUGUAGCGGUAAAAUGCGCAGAUAUCGGAAGGAACACCAGUGGCGAAGGCGGCGCCCUGGGGUGGGCCUGACGCUAAGAGACGAAAGCUAGGGGAGCGAA
Molecule: ribosomal RNA, 262 nt
Filed under: uncultured bacterium
Lineage: Bacteria
Description: partial 16S ribosomal RNA
Rfam family: Bacterial small subunit ribosomal RNA
Source: RNAcentral